GUGCAUUCCGCUCCAUGCAAAUGCAAAGUUAUUUUAGUUUUGCAUUGAUAAAUUUAUUUUCUUGCCAAACUAUUUUUAGUUGUGAUGGGUGCAAACACAAAUUCCUAGAUUGGAAUCUACCUUUUUUCUUAUAUUGACCAAUUUUGAGUGCAAAGUUUGCAUCCAUUUUUUGGAUGCAAACUUUUCUCUCAUUUUGUAUGCAAACAUGCCUUGAAAUUUGUAAAAACUGUCACUUUCAAUACAUAAAUACAUUCUUACCAAGCAAUAGUAAAAAUGAACCAAAGUGAUAUAUGAAUUGAACUGACAUUUGCACUCUUCCUAAACGGAGACUAAAGAAACUUGUUUUUCUAUGUUAGUGAAACGAUUCUUGUUGCUUAGUUGGUUUCAAUUGGAGAAAAUGGAGGUAUUUUGGGUCAAUUAGGGCUUAAGAGAAAAGGGCGAAUCUAAUAGCUAGGGUUUAAGAGUAAAGGGCGAAUCUAAUGGCUAGGGUUUAAGAGAAAAGGGCUAAUUCCAUGUUGGUGAAAUGAUUCUUGUUGCUUAGCUGGUUUCAAUUGGUAAUUUAUUGCAUUUUGUCAUCUGAUUUAAUGGCCAGGGGAAUACAUGUUGCAAAGUGAAAGUUCAGGGGUAAUUUUCACUAACCCCAUAGUAUGGGGGUCUUCGUAAUUUACCCUAUUUUUUCGAUAAAAAUGUUAAACCUCCCUUAGCUUUUCUCCAAAAUACUGAAACCUCCCCUCUCUUUUAGAAUUGGACUAAGACCUCCCUGUUGGAGUUAUCUUUAACAGAAUUGUAGAAAGUCUCUUUUACCUAUUAAUUCUUUAAAUUUUCAAAUAAAGACAAAGAUAAUCUCAUUAUAAACCAUCGAGCUAUAUAGGCUGGUCAAACCCUGCUUGCAUAUGGUUGCUUUGAACACAUUAGGAGAAUGGCAGUCGUCUAGUAGUCUGUUGAAGAAGAAUACUACUUCUUCCCAUGGAGAUAGUCAGGAAAUGAUCUAUUCCUGAUGAAGUCUCCGUGACUCCAUCCUCUAUGUCACCUUGGAGAAUGACAAUCCAACAUACUAUCCUAAGAAAAUACACUCGGUCAAUAAUUUCUAUUGGCCUCUACUACAAUGAAGCUUGUUAAAACAGUAAUUUGUAUUUUGUAUUUAGUUCUAGGUUUUUGGAACUAGAAACUACCUUGUCAAGAUUGGUUCUAAGGUUGGUGCAAUUUUAAAGAACAUAUUCCAUAGCCAAACCUAGAAUUGAUCUUAAAACUACAUCGGCCUUAGAAUUGAUCUUAGCAAGGUAGAUUCUGGUUUUAAAAACCUAGAACUGACCCUUACAAAGUAGAUUUUAGGUUCUACCUUGGAACCUACAUCUUUCCACCGAACCCUUCCUCUGGCGGCAACAAGGAGACCUCCGGUGGUUCAUCAACGGUGACAGAUGGACAUACCCGAAGUGUUAAGUUGAACCAUUUAUCUCUAGGCUUGACACUCGAAGACGAAGAUGAGGACGAUGGGGGAGACGAGAGAGUCUGCUCUCCACUGUAAUUCCAUGAGGAAACGCAUGGAGACUUGGACUCUAUUGUUAUGUGUAAGCUCUUUGUAAAAAACUCAGUAAUUAUCUGCUCAAUUUUUUCU
Molecule: non-coding RNA, 1615 nt
Organism: Nelumbo nucifera (sacred lotus)
Lineage: Eukaryota; Viridiplantae; Streptophyta; Magnoliopsida; Proteales; Nelumbonaceae
Source: RefSeq, a predicted model, not a curated record